Non-coding RNA from Vicia faba (fava bean), 414 nucleotides. The record is from the annotation of a GenBank genome assembly. Lineage: Eukaryota; Viridiplantae; Streptophyta; Magnoliopsida; Fabales; Fabaceae.
AUGACUAAGAGAACCAAGAAGGCCGGUAUUGUUGGCAAAUACGGCACCCGAUAUGGUGCUAGUUUGAGGAAGCAAAUUAAAAAGAUGGAAGUCAGUCAGCACAAAAAAUUCUUCUGCGAGUUUUGUGGAAAGUAUGCUUUUAAGAGAAAGGUUGUUGGUAUUUGGGGUUGCAAAGAUUGUGGGAAGGUAAAUGGAAUCGUCGAAAUCGCGAACGAAGGUGAUGAGAUGAAAUGGAAAAGAUCGUUGGAGAUUUUGCGGAGAGAGAAGCCGAUCGGAUGUUUGGGCUCUGUCACGGAUUCGAUCGGAAAAGGAGGUUUUGGCCGCCGCCGUGAGUCGCGGAGGAGAAGUUAUCAGUCGGCCCUAAUGGUUAACAAUUCCUCUUCUGUUCUUUUUGCUUAUUUCCUUUUUUUCUAA